Molecule: ribosomal RNA, 439 nt
Filed under: uncultured eukaryote
Lineage: Eukaryota
Description: partial 18S ribosomal RNA
Rfam family: Eukaryotic small subunit ribosomal RNA
Source: RNAcentral
AGCGGUUAAAAAGCUCGUAGUUGGAUUUCGGAGUUGUUAUCUGAACCUUCUCGCCCUAAAAAGUGGGGGGGCUAAGGUAGCAGUAGUUUUCAUCAUAGUCCAUCAGGAUACUCUCUUGAUGUGUACUGGGUGUUAACCUCCUUUUUUUCUGGUACUUGCUAUCCAGCAAUGGGUAGUUUUGUCCAGAUAGUUUACUUUGAAAAAAUUAGAGUGUUCAAAGCAGGCAUAAUUGGCAUCAUGAAUACAUUAGCAUGGGAUAAUAGAAUAUGACAUUGGUCUUAUUUUGUUGGUUUCUAAGGCCAAAGUAAUGAUUGAUAGGGAUAGUUGGGGCCGCUCGUAUUGAGUUGUCAGAGGUGAAAUUCUAGGAUUUUACUCAAGACGAACUAAUGCGAAAGCAUUCGGCAAGGAUGUUUUCAUUAAUCAAGAACGAAAGUUGGGG